AUGGAGAACAACGGCAAUCUUAUAUCCAGAGAGAAGAUCGAUCAGAUGGCUACCUGGCUGGGGUCCACCGUCUCCUCCGCUUUCUUCUCUUCCUUGGAACGCUUUUCCUGCGUCAACGUCGCUACUUCUGACCCUUACAACGACGAAGACGACGACGAUGAUUACUCCGUCAGCACAACCGCUACCACCGCCGUCAAUAAUCCUAAUACCUCCGUUCAGAACACAAACGACGUCGCCAACCUCCCUGUUUGA
Non-coding RNA from Vicia faba (fava bean), 252 nucleotides. The record is from the annotation of a GenBank genome assembly. Lineage: Eukaryota; Viridiplantae; Streptophyta; Magnoliopsida; Fabales; Fabaceae.